CUAGUCCUCCAAGUAUUUUUCUUAUAUAUUUAUGAUGGCCAUAAUUCUUAUAUUAUCAUGGCUGCAUAAGGGAUGAAACUUAUUAUGGCUAAGACUCCAAGGAAAGAAAUGGUUAAAAUUUCUAAAGUUGUUUGCUUCUCCACAAUCCUUAUUACAUUUCUUCUUAUGAAUGUGGCAAACGGGGAAGCAUUUUGUUGGGCUUUAAGCGAAAGUUGGCAUGGGCGUUGCCAAUCCACAGUAAAUUGUAAACUGCACUGCAUGGAGGAUGAGGAGGCAACAAAUGGAGAAUGUCGUGGGAUUUGGCAUUCAAAAUGCUACUGCUACAGAAAAUGUAUCUGAUAUAUUGAUCGAAUGCAACCAAUAUAUGCAUUAUGUUUGUGCGACUUCGAUCUGCGACCAUAUAUAUAUAUAUAUAUGAUUGAUCUUCUUCUAAA
Molecule: long non-coding RNA, 434 nt
Organism: Alnus glutinosa
Lineage: Eukaryota; Viridiplantae; Streptophyta; Magnoliopsida; Fagales; Betulaceae
Exons: 2
Source: RefSeq, a predicted model, not a curated record